Molecule: ribosomal RNA, 523 nt
Filed under: Escherichia coli
Lineage: Bacteria; Pseudomonadati; Pseudomonadota; Gammaproteobacteria; Enterobacterales; Enterobacteriaceae
Description: bacterial LSU rRNA
Rfam family: Bacterial large subunit ribosomal RNA
Source: RNAcentral
UGGGUAACACUAACUGGAGGACCGAACCGACUAAUGUUGAAAAAUUAGCGGAUGACUUGUGGCUGGGGGGGAAAGGCCAAUCAAACCGGGAGAUAGCUGGUUCUCCCCGAAAGCUAUUUAGGUAGCGCCUCGUGAACUCAUCUCCGGGGGUAGAGCACUGUUUCGGCAAGGGGGUCAUCCCGACUUACCAACCCGAUGCAAACUGCGAAUACCGGAGAAUGUUAUCACGGGAGACACACGGCGGGUGCUAACGUCCGUCGUGAAGAGGGAAACAACCCAGACCGCCAGCUAAGGUCCCAAAGUCAUGGUUAAGUGGGAAACGAUGUGGGAAGGCCCAGACAGCCAGGAUGUUGGCUUAGAAGCAGCCAUCAUUUAAAGAAAGCGUAAUAGCUCACUGGUCGAGUCGGCCUGCGCGGAAGAUGUAACGGGGCUAAACCAUGCACCGAAGCUGCGGCAGCGACGCUGAUGCGUUGUUGGGUAGGGGAGCGUUCUGUAAGCCUGUGAAGGUGUGCUGUGAGGCAUG